GAAAUGCGAUAAGUAAUGUGAAUUGCAGAAUUCAGUGAAUCAUCGAAUCUUUGAACGCACAUUGCGCCCGCCAGUAUUCUGGCGGGCAUGCCUGUCUGAGCGUCAUUUCAACCCUCAGCCCCCGUUCGCGGGGCGCUGGCGUUGGGGCCCGGCCGUCCUCGCGGCGGCCGUCCCCGAAACACAGUGGCGGUCUCCCACAGACUCCCCUGCGUAGUAACACUACCUCGCAGAAGGGACGAGCGGGCUGGCCACGCCGUAAAACACCCCACUUCUCAAGGUUGACCUCAGAUCAGGUAGGAAUACCCGCUGAACUUAA
This 316-nucleotide unclassified non-coding RNA is filed under the name uncultured Hypocreales. RNAcentral's name for it is "sequence contains ITS1". The stretch from base 1 to 105 matches the Rfam family "5.8S ribosomal RNA", at positions 50 to 154 of the family's 154-position model. Lineage: Eukaryota; Fungi; Ascomycota; Sordariomycetes; Hypocreales. The record is from RNAcentral.